GAUUUCCUCAGGAACAGAAUAUGACCCUUCUUAGGUAUGUCUACUGAAACCUUAGUGAGCCCUUCAGAGUAGGGUUUAACCGUGCGACUAUAAAUAAUAUCGGUUUUCCAGUUAAAAAUCUUAAUUAUCUUUAACCGGAUCGCUGGUCAGUAUUUACUGGCAACACCCUUAGUCUGCAGGAAUAUUCUUCAGAACAAUCUGCAGCCACUCGUCACGGUUAAAAGCUUCACCGGCAGUGGCUCACAGGCUAAAUAGUGGUGGAUGUCAUCCCCGGGGAUGAUAUUUCAGAUAUAGUCGCGUCCGUGGAAUGUUAUUUUACAGACUGUGUUCCGUAGGUGAACCUGCGGAAGGAUCAUUA
RNAcentral lists this ribosomal RNA (358 nucleotides) under Pyrenula quassiicola. Its description in RNAcentral is "partial small subunit ribosomal RNA". Lineage: Eukaryota; Fungi; Ascomycota; Eurotiomycetes; Pyrenulales; Pyrenulaceae. The record is from RNAcentral.